GAUGAACGCUGACAGAAUGCUUAACACAUGCAAGUCAACUUGAACUUCGGUUUGGGUGGCGGACGGGUGAGUAACGCGUAAAGAACUUGCCUCACAGCUAGGGACAACAUUUGGAAACGAAUGCUAAUACCUGAUAUUAUGAUUUUAGGGCAUCCUAGAAUUAUGAAAGCUAUAUGCGCUGUGAGAGAGCUUUGCGUCCCCUUAGCUAGUUGGAGAGGUAACGGCUCACCAAGGCGAUGAUGGGUAGCCGGCCUGAGAGGGUGAACGGCCACAAGGGGACUGAGACACGGCCCUUACUCCUACGGGAGGCAGCAGUGGGGAAUAUGGGACAAUGGACCAAGAGUCUGAUACAGCAAUUCUGUGUGCACGAUGAAGUUUUUCGGAAUGUAAAGUGCUUUCAGUUGGGAAGAAAAAAAUGACGGUACCAACAGAAGAAGUGACGGCUAAAUACGUG
Molecule: ribosomal RNA, 454 nt
Filed under: uncultured bacterium
Lineage: Bacteria
Description: partial 16S ribosomal RNA
Rfam family: Bacterial small subunit ribosomal RNA
Source: RNAcentral